UAAGUAACAAUCAUUGAAAUGGUGGCAACCCAUAUCUCAAAAUGUAAUGGAAACCUGUACGUGAGAGAAACAAUUAUAAGGAUGGAGGUGGACAGCGCCAAUGUGUUGGAUAUCAGGAAAACAUAAUAAGCGUGUGGCUGAGAGGCAUAAAUUGCCCUUCCUGCGUGAUGGCCACCAUCAUUGUCCUGCCAGACGCCUCCUGGCGGGUUCACGCCAGCUUGGAAGGUCACUGCAGCAAUUAGCGCCGCUAUCACGAGCAAAAAA
Molecule: unclassified non-coding RNA, 264 nt
Filed under: Hevea brasiliensis (rubber tree)
Lineage: Eukaryota; Viridiplantae; Streptophyta; Magnoliopsida; Malpighiales; Euphorbiaceae
Source: RNAcentral